This 465-nucleotide ribosomal RNA is filed under the name uncultured bacterium. RNAcentral's name for it is "partial 16S ribosomal RNA". It matches the Rfam family "Bacterial small subunit ribosomal RNA", at positions 28 to 507 of the family's 1533-position model. The record is from RNAcentral.
GACGAACGCUGGCGGCGUGCUUAACACAUGCAAGUCGAACGGAAAGGCCCUGCUUGCAGGGUACUCGAGUGGCGAACGGGUGAGUAACACGUGGGUGAUCUGCCCUGCACUUCGGGAUAAGCCUGGGGAACUGGGUCUAAUACCGCAUAGGAGCCAUUCUGCGGGUGAUGGUGGGAAAGUUUUUUCGGGGUAGGAUGAGCUGGCGGCCUACCAGUUUGUUUGUGGGGUAAUGGCCUACCAAGGCGGCGACGGGUAGCCGGCCUGGGAGGGUGGACGGGCACAAUGGGGCUGGGAUUCGGCCCAGACUUCCACGGGGGGCAGGAGUUGGGAAUAUUGCACAAUUGGGGGAAGCCUGGUGGAAGGAAGCCGGGGUGGGGAUGAACGGCCUUGGGUUGUAAACCCCUUUCGCCAGGGACGAAGCUGUUUGUGACGGUAACUAGAUAAGAAGCACCGGCUAACUACGUG